GAUGAACGCUGGCGGCGUGCCUAAUACAUGCAAGUCGAGCGAACAGACGAGGAGCUUGCUCCUCUGACGUUAGCGGCGGACGGGUGAGUAACACGUGGAUAACCUACCUAUAAGACUGGGAUAACUUCGGGAAACCGGAGCUAAUACCGGAUAAUAUAUUGAACCGCAUGGUUCAAUAGUGAAAGACGGUUUUGCUGUCACUUAUAGAUGGAUCCGCGCCGCAUUAGCUAGUUGGUAAGGUAACGGCUUACCAAGGCGACGAUGCGUAGCCGACCUGAGAGGGUGAUCGGCCACACUGGAACUGAGACACGGUCCAGACUCCUACGGGAGGCAGCAGUAGGGAAUCUUCCGCAAUGGGCGAAAGCCUGACGGAGCAACGCCGCGUGAGUGAUGAAGGUCUUCGGAUCGUAAAACGCUGUUAUUAGGGAAGAACAAAUGUGUAAGUAACGAUGCACGUCUUGACGGUACCUAAGCAGAAAGCCACGGCUAACUACGG
RNAcentral lists this ribosomal RNA (496 nucleotides) under uncultured bacterium. RNAcentral's name for it is "partial 16S ribosomal RNA". It matches the Rfam family "Bacterial small subunit ribosomal RNA", at positions 28 to 506 of the family's 1533-position model. The record is from RNAcentral.